Molecule: long non-coding RNA, 910 nt
Organism: Globicephala melas (long-finned pilot whale)
Lineage: Eukaryota; Metazoa; Chordata; Mammalia; Artiodactyla; Delphinidae
Source: RefSeq, a predicted model, not a curated record
UGGUGGCGGCAAAAUAAAGGGGGGGGGGCGGUGAGACUAGAGGCUAGUCAGAAGAUCUCCUUCCGAGUCUCGUCCUCCCAGCCGCUCCCCUCCAACCCAAGCACCCUCGGCCCCUUGCUCCGAGCCGCGCCAGGAAUGCGGACUAAUUAGGGUCCAAUGUCUCCUUAAAGAGACAAGCUCGGCCUUGUGUAACGCUGCGAAACCCCUGUUGAGACAAGAAAGGGAGGAUCACGCCGAUCCCACUUCGUUCGGUUCACAUGAAUUUUACGCGCCGCUGGAGCCGGCAUAAUUUUCCGUGUGAACGCGGAUUCGGGCCCCUGUUCUUGUUUAGAGCCGAAGACUGAGCUGCGAGACGCUGACCCGGGUGGGAGAGCUGAGAACUUGUGAAUCCAGGAAUUGACAUCAGCCAUGGCAGCCUGAACAAAGCAAGCCUGCAACUAUAAAACUGACAUCCAGAGAGAAGCAGAGAGGAAAGGAAGAGGAGAGAGUCAUGGGAGAAUCCCAGUUCCUGGGGUAUUCUUGUCAUCCCACUUGGCUCUGACACCCUGUUCUAAGCUGCCGCUCCUACUGCUCCCUCCGCCACAUGGAUGCCCUUCUCAUCUAGUCUGUGUGGUGCUUCAAGGACAAAGGACAACCCUGCCUGGAAAAGUUUCGGCGUUACACACCCUACUGGACUCUUCAUCGACCUCCCCACCAUGCUGCGAUGCGUACACAGAAAUUCCUGAGCCUACCUGGGCGACAGGACCUGUUCCUCUCUCGUCCCAAAUAAGGAAAAGCAUCUGUCCUGUCCCACUCCCACCCUAUAGAAGGAAGGUAUAUGUGCCUCGACCAAUUAGUAAACGGAAUUUUCACCUCGGACCAUUCCUUUGUUCUCUGGCUAUAAAAACUGACUAAUAGCACAUGUUCGGGG